RNAcentral lists this ribosomal RNA (262 nucleotides) under uncultured archaeon. RNAcentral describes it as "partial 16S ribosomal RNA". It matches the Rfam family "Archaeal small subunit ribosomal RNA", at positions 748 to 1008 of the family's 1478-position model. The record is from RNAcentral.
CAGCCCUAAACGAUGCGCGUUAGGUGUAUCGGUGACCACGAGUCACCGAGGUGCCGAAGGGAAACCGUGAAACGUGCCGCCUGGGAAGUACGGUCGCAAGGCUGAAACUUAAAGGAAUUGGCGGGGGGAGCACCACAACGGGUGGAGCCUGCGGUUUAAUUGGAUUCAACGCCGGAAAUCUUACCGGGACCGACAGCAACAUGAAGGCCAAGCUGAAGACUUUGCCGGAUUAGCUGAGAGGUGGUGCAUGGCGUCAGUGACU